CCUACGGGCGGCUGCAGUGAGGAAUAUUGCGCAAUGGAGGCAACUCUGACGCAGCCAUGCCGCGUGAAGGAUUGAAGGCCCUAUGGGUUGUAAACUUCUUUUGUAUGGGAAAAAACGCUUCUACGUGUAGAAGCCUGAUGGUACCAUAAGAAUAAGCACCGGCUAACUCCGUGCCAGCAGCCGCGGUAAUACGGAGGGUGCAAGCGUUAUCCGGAUUUAUUGGGUUUAAAGGGUCCGUAGGCGGACUAUUAAGUCAGUGGUGAAAGCCCUCUGCUCAACAGAGGAACUGCCAUUGAUACUGGUAGUCUUGAGUACAAGUGAGGUUGGCGGAAUGUGUGGUGUAGCGGUGAAAUGCUUAGAUAUCACACAGAACACCGAUUGCGAAGGCAGCUGGCCAACUUGUAACUGACGCUGAGGCACGAAAGUGUGGGGAUCAAACAGGAUUAGAUACCCGAGUAGUC
Molecule: ribosomal RNA, 461 nt
Filed under: uncultured Bacteroidota bacterium
Lineage: Bacteria; Pseudomonadati; Bacteroidota
Description: bacterial SSU rRNA
Rfam family: Bacterial small subunit ribosomal RNA
Source: RNAcentral